UACGGGGGGGGCAAGCGUUGUUCGGAAUUACUGGGCGUAAAGGGCUCGUAGGCGGCCAACUAAGUCGGAUGUGAAAUCCCCAGGCUUAACCUGGGAACUGCAUCCGAUACUGGAUGGCUUGAGUCCGGGAGAGGGAUGCAGAAUUCCAGGUGUAGCGGUGAAAUGCGUAGAUAUCUAGAGGAAUACCGGUGGCGAAGGCGGCAUCCUGGACCGGCAUUGACGCUGAGGAGCGAAAGCGUGGGGAGCGAACAGG
This 253-nucleotide ribosomal RNA is filed under the name uncultured bacterium. RNAcentral's name for it is "partial 16S ribosomal RNA". It matches the Rfam family "Bacterial small subunit ribosomal RNA", at positions 524 to 776 of the family's 1533-position model. The record is from RNAcentral.